UACGUAGGCAGCGAGCGUUGUUCGGAGUUACUGGGCGUAAAGAGUGCGUAGGCGGUUUUUUAAGUUUGGUGUGAAAUCUCCCGGCUUAACUGGGAGGGUGCGCCGAAGACUGGAAGGCUUGAGUAUGGGAGAGGGAUGUAGAAUUCCAGGUGUAGCGGUGAAAUGCGUAGAUAUCUGGAGGAAUACCGGUGGCGAAGGCGGCAUCCUGGACCAUUACUGACGCUGAGGCGCGAAAGCUAGGGGAGCAAACGGG
Molecule: ribosomal RNA, 253 nt
Filed under: uncultured bacterium
Lineage: Bacteria
Description: partial 16S ribosomal RNA
Rfam family: Bacterial small subunit ribosomal RNA
Source: RNAcentral